Molecule: ribosomal RNA, 592 nt
Filed under: Escherichia coli
Lineage: Bacteria; Pseudomonadati; Pseudomonadota; Gammaproteobacteria; Enterobacterales; Enterobacteriaceae
Also listed under: 1 other name
Description: partial 23S ribosomal RNA
Rfam family: Bacterial large subunit ribosomal RNA
Source: RNAcentral
CGGGACACGUGGUAUCCUGUCUGAAUAUGGGGGGACCAUCCUCCAAGGCUAAAUACUCCUGACUGACCGAUAGUGAACCAGUACCGUGAGGGAAAGGCGAAAAGAACCCCGGCGAGGGGAGUGAAAAAGAACCUGAAACCGUGUACGUACAAGCAGUGGGAGCACGCUUAGGCGUGUGACUGCGUACCUUUUGUAUAAUGGGUCAGCGACUUAUAUUCUGUAGCAAGGUUAACCGAAUAGGGGAGCCGAAGGGAAACCGAGUCUUAACUGGGCGUUAAGUUGCAGGGUAUAGACCCGAAACCCGGUGAUCUAGCCAUGGGCAGGUUGAAGGUUGGGUAACACUAACUGGAGGACCGAACCGACUAAUGUUGAAAAAUUAGCGGAUGACUUGUGGCUGGGGGUGAAAGGCCAAUCAAACCGGGAGAUAGCUGGUUCUCCCCGAAAGCUAUUUAGGUAGCGCCUCGUGAAUUCAUCUCCGGGGGUAGAGCACUGUUUCGGCAAGGGGGUCAUCCCGACUUACCAACCCGAUGCAAACUGCGAAUACCGGAGAAUGUUAUCACGGGAGACACACGGCGGGUGCUAACGUCCGUCG